UUAUAGAACAUGGUUUAUGGAUUUUGGUAAAUUUUUCUGUCUGUUCAAAUUCGCCUGCAUGGCACAGUGGUUAGAGUGUCUGCUCUAGUAGAGUCGCGAAAUAAGGUGUUGAUCCUUACAUCAUGAGUUUGAAUCCCACUGUGGGAUGUGGAGACCUGUCCUUGGGAUGAUACAGUAUAACUGUGGCCCCUUGUUGCAGUAGGUCAGGUGUUGGCACAAAAAAGAUCCCUUCCUGCUCAAUCAGUCAAUGGCCCUGAGUGCUGAGUAUAGGUCAUUAGGACAAAAUUUGCAGCUCUCCACUGUCGUUUCCAUAUGAGUGAAAAAUUCUUGAGAGGAACGAUAAACAAUAAACAAUCAAUCUGUCUGUUCAAUUUAUUCACUGAUAUUACACAACUGUAUACACUAAAACUUAUUUAUAGCAGAGGUACAAGAGAACCAGUAACACAGAUAAAAGAUGCAGUUCCUAAGAGAUCCAAAGUCAGCAGCACCUACGACUAUACUGACUUUGAAUUAUCAGCAUCCAAAACAAUGCAAAUCAAAUACAGGUUUUGUCUGUACAUCUGGCAAUCUUGGGGCAAUACUGGAUGGUUUUAACUAAGAACUGAUCCAGCAUGAAGACCAGCCAUGUGCCUCACCUGUCAUGACAUUAUUAAAGUACUUUGUGACAGUGGGAUGAUGGAAUAUUAAAGAAUGGACAUGGCUCUAUAUUACUGCAUCAGAGAUCAAUCCAGGUUUACUUAUAAAUCAAAGAAAAACACUUAAACAGUCAAGCAUCAUUUGAAGCUACAUGUGUCACCGCUUUAACAAUAUGCCUGCUUAUAUAACCAAGAAAGCACAGUGACCAGUUGUACCUAUGAUGUCGGACAAGAUCCCGAAAAAACUUCCAGUACACUCAUCACUACCUGCAAAGAAUUGAAAAUUCUAAAUGACUUGUAUCAACACUUUUGUACUUCAUCUGGCUUGUAUUUUCAAUACUCAUUAGCUUUUAGCUUCCUGCAUACAAAAUUUCAUAAGUACUAACUUGCAGGUGUAAAAUAUUUGAAACAGUUUGCUUGUCCCAAAGGAAAUUCUGCCAAUUAGCAGUGGCAUGAGCAGUUGAUUGAUGUCACAGUUCCACCGGCAAAGUAUUUGUAGCUGAAUGGUGCCAUGUAAAACACUUUUCACAAGAACAUGGAAAACAUCCUAGAAGUGAGGAUCUACAAGAAAUUAAGAGAAUACUUUCUUGAAUAUUUUCAAUGUUAUAAAAUGCUUGUGUACAUCCUUUAUAUAUAAAACUAAUUACGCAUGUAACUACCAAAUAUACAAAUUAAACUUCAAUCCUUAAA
This is a long non-coding RNA of Saccostrea cuccullata (small rock oyster), 1325 nucleotides long. RefSeq lists it as uncharacterized. NCBI's taxonomy places the organism in Eukaryota, Metazoa, Mollusca, Bivalvia, Ostreida, Ostreidae. The transcript is spliced from 3 exons. The record is from RefSeq and is a predicted model, not a curated record.